Molecule: ribosomal RNA, 797 nt
Filed under: uncultured bacterium
Lineage: Bacteria
Description: bacterial SSU rRNA
Rfam family: Bacterial small subunit ribosomal RNA
Source: RNAcentral
AGAGUUUGAUCAUGGCUCAGGAUGAACGCUAGCGGCAGGCUUAAUACAUGCAAGUCGAGGGGCAGCAGGUUUGUAGCAAUACAGAUGCUGGCGACCGGCAAACGGGUGCGGAACACGUACAGAACCUUCCUUUAAGCGGGGGAUAGCCCAGAGAAAUUUGGAUUAAUACCCCAUAGUAUUGUUGAGUGGCAUCACUUGAUGAUUAAAGAUUUAUCACUUAAAGAUGGCUGUGCGGCUGAUUAGGUAGUUGGCGGGGUAACGGCCCACCAAGCCUUCGAUCAGUAACUGGUGUGAGAGCACGACCAGUCACACGGGCACUGAGACACGGGCCCGACUCCUACGGGAGGCAGCAGUAAGGAAUAUUGGGCAAUGGACGAAAGUCUGACCCAGCCAUGCCGCGUGGAGGAUGAAGGUCCUCUGGAUUGUAAACUUCUUUUAUUUGGGAAGAAACCCGAUUUUUCUAAGUCGGUUGACGGUACCAGAUGAAUAAGCACCGGCUAACUCCGUGCCAGCAGCCGCGGUAAUACGGAGGGUGCAAGCGUUAUCCGGAUUCACUGGGUUUAAAGGGUGCGUAGGCGGGCAGGUAAGUCAGUGGUGAAAUCUCCGGGCUUAACCCGGAAACUGCCGUUGAUACUAUCUGUCUUGAAUAUCGUGGAGGUAAGCGGAAUAUGUCAUGUAGCGGUGAAAUGCUUAGAUAUGACAUAGAACACCGAUUGCGAAGGCAGCUUACUACACGAUCAUUGACGCUGAGGCACGAAAGCGUGGGGAGCAAACAGGAUUAGAUACCCUAGUAGUCC